RNAcentral lists this ribosomal RNA (446 nucleotides) under uncultured bacterium. RNAcentral describes it as "partial 16S ribosomal RNA". It matches the Rfam family "Bacterial small subunit ribosomal RNA", at positions 338 to 795 of the family's 1533-position model. The record is from RNAcentral.
CCUACGGGUGGCAGCAGUCGAGAAUCAUUCACAAUGGGGGAAACCCUGAUGGUGCGACGCCGCGUGGGGGAAUGAAGGUCUUCGGAUUGUAAACCCCUGUCAUGUGGGAGCAAAUUAAAAAGAUAGUACCACAAGAGGAAGAGACGGCUAACUCUGUGUCAGCAGCCGCGGUAAUACAUAGGUCUCAAGCGUUGUUCGGAAUCACUGGGCGUAAGGCGUGCGUAGGCUGUUUCGUAAGUCGUGUGUGAAAGGCGCGGGCUCAACCCGCGGACGGCACAUGAUACUGCGAGACUAGAGUAAUGGAGGGGGAACCGGAAUUCUCGGUGUAGCAGUGAAAUGCGUAGAUAUCGAGAGGAACACUCGUGGCGAAGGCGGGUUCCUGGACAUUAACUGACGCUGAGGCACGAAGGCCAGGGGAGCGAAAGGGAUUAGAUACCCUUGUAGUC